UAGAGUUUGAUUCUGGCUCAGAACGAACGCUGGCGGCGCGUCUUAAGCAUGCAAGUCGGACGGCAAGGGGAGCUUGCUCCCCCUAGAGUGGCGGACUGGUGAGUAACGCGUGGGUGACCUACCCUCGAGAUGGGGAUAGCCACUAGAAAUAGUGGAUAAUACCGAAUACGCUCAUGACCCUUUGGGGAUAUGAGGAAAUCAGGCUACGGCCUGGCUCGAGGAUGGGCCCGCGUCCCAUUAGCUAGUUGGUGAGGUAACGGCCCACCAAGGCGACGAUGGGUAUCCGGCCUGAGAGGGUGAUCGGACACAUUGGGACUGAGAUACGGCCCAAACUCCUACGGGAGGCAGCAGCUAAGAAUAUUCCGCAAUGGACGAAAGUCUGACGGAGCGACGCCGCGUGGAUGAAGAAGGCCGAAAGGUUGUAAAAUCCUUUUGCUGAUGAAGAAUAAGUGUGGUAGGGAAUGACCGCAUGAUGACAUUAGUCGGUGAAUAAGCCCCGGCUAACUACGUGCCAGCAGCCGCGGUAACACGUAGGGGGCAAGCGUUGUUCGGAAUUAUUGGGCGUAAAGGGCAUGUAGGCGGUUUGGUAAGCCUGGUGUGAAAUCCUGCAGCUUAACUGUAGAAUUGCAUUGGGUACUGCCAGACUUGAAUCACGGAGGGGAAACUAGAAUUCCAGGUGUAGGGGUGGAAUCUGUAGAUAUCUGGAAGAAUACCGGUGGCGAAGGCGGGUUUCUAGCCGAUGAUUGACGCUGAGGUGCGAAAGUGCGGGGAGCAAACAAGGUUAGAUACCCUGGUAGUCCGCACCGUAA
RNAcentral lists this ribosomal RNA (809 nucleotides) under uncultured bacterium. RNAcentral's name for it is "bacterial SSU rRNA". It matches the Rfam family "Bacterial small subunit ribosomal RNA", at positions 1 to 805 of the family's 1533-position model. The record is from RNAcentral.